This 501-nucleotide ribosomal RNA is filed under the name uncultured bacterium. Its description in RNAcentral is "partial 16S ribosomal RNA". It matches the Rfam family "Bacterial small subunit ribosomal RNA", at positions 30 to 523 of the family's 1533-position model. The record is from RNAcentral.
AUUGAACGCUGGCGGCAGGCUUAACACAUGCAAGUCGAGCGGAGAUGAGGUGCUUGCACCUUAUCUUAGCGGCGGACGGGUGAGUAAUGCUUAGGAAUCUGCCUAUUAGUGGGGGACAACAUUCCGAAAGGAAUGCUGAUACCGCAUACGUCCUACGGGAGAAAGCAGGGGAUCUUCGGACCUUGCGCUAAUAGAUGAGCCUAAGUCGGAUUAGCUAGUUGGUGGGGUAAAGGCCUACCAAGGCGACGAUCUGUAGCGGGUCUGAGAGGAUGAUCCGCCACACUGGGACUGAGACACGGCCCAGACUCCUACGGGAGGCAGCAGUGGGGAAUAUUGGACAAUGGGGGGGACCCUGAUCCAGCCAUGCCGCGUGUGUGAAGAAGGCCUUAUGGUUGUAAAGCACUUUAAGCGAGGAGGAGGCUUACCUAGUUAAUACCUGGGAUAAGUGGACGUUACUCGCAGAAUAAGCACCGGCUAACUCUGUGCCAGCCGCCGCGGUAA